GGAGAGGUGGCUCAGAGGUUAAGAGCACUGACUGUUCUUCCAGAGGUCCUGAGUUCAAUUCUCAGCAACCACA
Neotoma lepida (desert woodrat) is the source of this 73-nucleotide non-coding RNA. The record is from Rfam. Lineage: Eukaryota; Metazoa; Chordata; Mammalia; Rodentia; Cricetidae.